AUGUCGUGGCAUCGAGCGAAGGUGGCACUGGAGCAGCCACGGCUGGGAGAAACAGUAUAUGACAUACAACGUGAUGUGCAUAAGGCUCAUAAAGAUCAAAAACACAUUGUGGUGGUCGUCCUCGGCUACAAGGCUGGAGUAGUCGUCGCUGCUCUCAUCCUCGUGCACCAUGGCGCGGUGGCGGCGGGGAAUUGCGCGGCGGUCGGCGGCGAAUCGGAGGGCGAGAGCUCGAGCGGGGCGGGGGCUAGGUUAACUCCUUCCUUCCAGCUGGGCGGCCGCUCCAAGACUCUCAGCUUCCUUCCCUUUUACGGCGGCACCGACGGAGAUGGGGCCCAUUCCAGGUUCCUCCUCGUCGACGAGGACGACAUGACUGUGCUCCAUGGCGCCGACGCCGCCACCUUCGAGAUGAUGCCCGCCCUCGGCAGGCCCAAGGGAUUUGACCCCAUCUCUUUAUGCGUCACCCACGCCACCGACCAGGACCACCCGACGCGCUCUACGUCAUGGACUAUGCCGGCGGCAGCUUCGAGGAGCCGCACGUACGUGUGGCACUGGCGUCCGCUCCCUCCGCCUCCUAUCCUCGUUGACAAGAGAAGAGGCGCAGGCUCCAUGUCUGCCAGAAGCUACGCCCUGCUCCACGCCGACAAGAACACCACCACCAGCAGCAGCACCGCCUGCGUCUCAUUUAGCAGCAGCUCGGGGCGUGUUGGCGGCAUGGCGGGGGCGUGGCGGGGGAGCAAGAAACCGUCGUCGUCUAUGUCCGCCGCCGCGGGGCCGUCGUCUGUGCGGCCACUGGACUAUCUGGGCCCGGAAACCAUGUCCAUUGGACGCGCCUCGCUCGGAUUCGUCAUCUCAGCCAAAGAAAUCGACGUGGGAGGUCCUACAUCGCUGCAUCGGCCAUCAUCCCUUUCGUCUCCGUCCACUGGCCGUCGUGCCAAAUUCAUCACCGUCGCCACGCUCCGGCAUCUCUGCUUGGUUCCCCGAGCUCCCUAUGGUGCUCCUGAAGGUGCUGGACAUCCCCCCGAUGAGCUGCGCUUCCUAUAUCAUCGCCUUCAAAAUGAGCAGCCGUCGCCAGAGCUCCGUGACCAUGCUCAUGUCCUCCCCAAGCCUCGUGGUCGUCUAAGUGAGCUCCCUGUGCUCCUACCUCUAUCUCCCGUGUCCUCCAGCAGCCUCCCGAAAAAAAAAAACACCGCACCAAACCCGGACGUCCACCAAACCUCUCCUCCCUUCCUUCCUUCCGCCGCCUCCCUCUCUCUGUCCCCGAUCCAGAUCGGCCUCUCCCUCACCCCUCGCACCGCGCCCUCCUUCCCUCGCGCUGUCACCGGCGGCGCCCUCCUUCCUUUCUGUCACCGGCGGCGCCCUCCUUCCCUCGCGCUGCACCCGAACCUCGCUCCCGCUCCCAGCUCUUCUUCCUCCUCCGCUGCAGCUAGGGUUUCGUCUCCCCGAUCCCCAAUCCCCGUGCAGAUGGAGAACCGAAAUAAGACCGACCUCAAGAGGAAGCGUCUGGACGAUGGGACGGAGCAGGAGCAGGAGGCUGCUAUCAAGGAGACGUGCCAAGUCCUGAAGGAGAUGGAAAGCGAGGUCCAGAACCUCCGGGACGACAACAACCUGCUCCGCGACGAGCUCCUUGGCAAGGACCGGCAGCUUGCGGAGACGGAUACACUUUUAGUUGACAGGGAGCACCAGCUUUCAAAGACCCAGACACUUCUAGUUGAUACGGAGCAGCAGCUUGCGGCCCAGACACUUCUAGUUGACAGUUCAGCAAAGGAGUUUGAAACUGAAACAGUCCUGUCCAGUUUCACCUGCAAGGACCCCAUAACCAAGGAACGGGUCUAUGGUCGGCAUAAUCUAGGUAGUUGGCUCAGUGAAUUCAAGACGGAGCAAGAUCUGGAACAUGGGGUCAGAAAGGAGCUCCUCGCCAAGAUCCGGCGCUACUACGAUCAGGUGAACAUCGUCGACGAAGGCUUCUGCUUUGGCCUACUAGAUCCGGUCUCCAACAUCGUCGUCGCCGAAGCAAUCGCCCAAAGCAAGCUGCUGGUGGUGGACGAGGAAGACAAGGCCGAGCUGGCUGAGGACUCACAUGGUCGUCAACGGCCGAUACUACGGUGCAUUUUUGAGCGGUCGCUCGACGGUCUCAUCGCCUUUCUGGUGGCCCUCUUUCCCUACCUCCCCUACUACAGGGCCGAGUGGUAUCUCAACAAGGCUAAUUUGGAUCCCCUCGUGGCCGCCAACCUCAUCAUCAAGCACCGAGGGAUGGAACAGACCUUCAGGUUUCUAUCUGACACCACCGUGGCAGCCGUUGGAAUGGCGCUAAGAUGUGCUGCAGCUGCCGCCCUGCACCCCAACCCGCGGAAGUUCGCUCUAGGGUGGAAGCUACUGUCCCCUUUUCUCUGCAAGAUCAACACCCUGCUUUCACCACCCUACGCAGCCCAAGACCCCGGUCUGCUCAUCGACAUCCAGGAACUACUACAGCAACCUGAACCACCUGCUCUUUUCGUCCUGGAGGAAGCCUGGAGGCUUGCCUCUAAACGCACUGGCAGCAACCUGAACCAUCCGGAGAUGCAAGUGCCGCUGCUGCCGACUCUGAAGCAUUUGCUUCUCACCACCAUCCAUGGAUACUACCUGGAGGCUCUUGCCUGUCUGCCCAAGGACAAGCUGCGGGGCUCGCACCAGUACCACUACAGCUUGCUCCAUGCCGGUCACUGCUACGGACCGCUGGACCCUGUCUCCAACAUCAUCGUUAAUACCCUCUGGUAUGCCCAAGCCUACCCUCUAAAGCUAGAGAAAAAGAUCGACAUCGAGGUCAUCAGCACCAAAGCCCUGCUGCGAAUCGCACUCCGAUCCCUGUAUGGCCUCGUCUCCUUCCUUUGCACCCGCCACCCCACCCUCACGGUGGGUGAAGCCAUGCAACAACUGCAGCUGGCUGGGGCCUAUCUCCAAAAGGCCGAUGAUCCAAGCCAUCACGAUGGUGGUGUCGAACAAGAAGCCUACAUGGCUGCUGCCAAAGCCGCACACCACGCCAAACCUCUUGAACAGGCCCACUUCCUCGGACCAUCUAAUUCCAUGCUCAAAGGCUGCUUGGAACUCCUCAACCAAAACGAAGAUGCCAAGGUCCGCACAUUAAUUCUGGGCCACUUCCAAACCAACAGCAAACCUGCACAAGAAACAAAAAACACCAACGUGUUAGGCCCGUGGGCUUACAGAGAUGUAAUGAGAAUGAUAGACAACUUCUGGUACCAGCACACCAGUGUGGUGGGAAUGGUGAAGUCUGCAAUCGAGAUGUACAACAAGAAAAGCCAGGUACAACCCAGCUAUGAGGUCCAUGUUAUCUGCGGUGUCAAUGAGCACGUGGGUGGCCGUGCGGACCUAAUGAGGCCCUUUCAACACAUUAGCCAUUGCUCCCACAUCAACUUCCUUGCCACUCAGGUUGCUGGCACUCCAAAGCUCUUCUUUGCCGAGUGUCGCAACGUCGGCUCCAAGGAGGCGGUGUUGUGCUGUCCUGUUGCUAUGCCACUUCCAGGCUCUGAGCAAGUCCGUUGCCUUUACUGUGAGUCCAGAGGGAUGACCAUCGUGCACCCGACGAAGGAGAGAUUCCUGGGGCGUGACAGAGAGUUUGAGGAGAUGUUCCGCGGCGAAGGAGACACCACUGUUGACGUCACGUCUGACAGCUAUUACAUAACCUCGUAUUUGCAUAAUCUGGAGGAGGACUGGAUCUUCGGCGAUUACAGCUGCGACAGUGAACUCCAAGAGGAAGGGCGUACAAUCUCCCGGCGCCGGGGUUGCCCGUCGCGGCGGCGCAUCAGCGCCCCAUGGCGGCGUGCCUCCUUCGGUGCGUGGUGCCUCCAUCUCGGGAGGGACGAACCCUCAUCCAGCUCCAGUCAUGGGGUGACUUCCACUCCCUCGCGCCCUCCGGCUCAGACGCCGGGCUUCUCCAGUCCACCUCUUCUUCAGCGAGGACCGGCGCCGGUCUACAACUACGGUGGGAACCAACCCCCUAGCUAUGGCCAGGCCAGGCACUACGCCCCGCCAUACGGUCCGGCUGUCGCCGGUGCGCCAGGCUCUAUGUAUAGGACUUCGCCGGCCGGGAUGUCCGUUCCUUCACAGUUCCAUCCAGGAGGGAUUGUGGCACAACCAGUCCAGAAAAGUAAGAAGAAGAAGAAGAAGCCGCAUCAACAACAGUUUGCUGGGGGAGCUUUGCAACAUGGUUUUCACCCACCGGCUCAGCACAUGCAGGUUCAGCAACAUAUACCGCAUCAACCUAUACAACAACAACAUGUGCAGUCUUUUCAGCAGGGGCAAUAUCAGCAAUUUGUGCAGCAGCAGAACAGUCAGGUGCCACAGGGGCCUACUACUGUCGAUGUCCCUUCUCUGGGAGUUCCCGUGUCUGAUGUGCAAGUGAAUCCUACAGUGCCUAAGAACAAGGCUAUGAAAGGGGUCCGACGCUGGAAGUGUGCGGUGUAUACGCAUGCCGCAAAGGAUUGCACAGUGCAGCAUUACUGUUAUAUUUGUGACAAAAUCGCUUAUCCAACGUUGCAGUGCCCGGUUCUGAAACUCCCCAAGCCCAAUGAUUUUGUCCCGGGAGUUGGUGCUGAGGAGACUUACUUUGCCCUGCUGCCACAUAGUGUGGUGAAGGAUCAUUUGGCGCUGACACAAACACCGAUCGCCCGUGUUCAUUGGAAGUGGGAGGCUAUUCAACACGGGUCCGAUGCUUACCUUGUUAGCUUUCCUUCUUUCGAGGACUUGGACAGGGUUGACGGAAUUCAGAUGAACGUGCCGUCGGUUAAUGCCCGGAUGACUGUCACCGCAUGGAGGUCGCAGGAGGUCCCACAUAAGCUCGAGCUUCAACAGAUUUGGCUCCAUGUCGAGGGUGUUCCUCAUACGAUUUUGUCUAAGGACAAGGGUGACGCGGGGCCUUUUGUUGCAACAGAUGUGCUGGUUAAGCUCAAGGGCUACGCAUUCACGUUCAGGAAGGAGCCGGCUGAUUACAUUCCGGACCUUGACUUUGUCCCAUUUAUUUGGAGACGCAAGGGUGAUGAUGCUGACAAUGAGAGCGGCACCAAGGAGAAGGACGAUGUGAUGGACACCUCGGAGCACACCGGGAGCCCUUCCAACUACCCGUCUUCUAGUUCUGCUCCGGCGAAUAAAAUUCAUGAGACUCAAGUUCAACGACGUGUACUGUCGAGUGUGGGCUCUGGAGGUGUGACAGGACGUGGUUCAGUGAUUUUAGUGCAGGAGUCUGCCUCGCCUUCUACGCCACGGGCUGUGGUUGUGUCGCAGCCGUCGUCGCCUUCUCGGACUGCAACGUCGUCACCCGCUGCCCUCCAGUUGGUGCAGGUCACCGGCGGCUCGGCGGGAUGCCCGAACUCUCCAUCUGCUGAGGUGGCGCCGCAGCCCCCGCCGCCGACACGGAUGGCGCCGUCGCAACCGGCUGUCUCCAAGCCGGUGCAGGCAGCCGGAGUUUCAGCGGGGUGCCCUGUAGUGCCUUUAUUUAGCGGGCAUCCAGCAGUGGCGGCUUCAGAAAUUUGCAACCGGGUAUUCAUGUACCCAAGCAUACCCAUAGCGCCACCCUUGCCAUCCAGCGGCUCGGGUAGGGCCAACCCAGCACGCAUCUCAGUUGGAGCUGUGCAUGCAUGUUUCGAGUGUGCUGGGAAACAAAGGGCUGGCCUCGGGUGUGCAGCCAUGCAGUACUGCACAUUCGACUGUUAUUCGAUCUCCAUCGGAGCCGGACGCGUCCGCGGCUGCUCAACGAUUUCAGAUGAAGCCGAACGUGUACGUCUCACCCAUGCAUGCACCACCCGUGGUCCCGCCUCCAGACACACCAUCUUCGGCGGUGGCGUUGAGUGUACCGGUGGUUGUGACUGCCGGGGAGGGGGUUGCUACUACACCCUCAUCCCCUCCUCCGGCGGAUGUUCCUACACGACUUUCUUCAUCGGGGGUGACGCCCACACGUCGCAGUGCCCGCCAUGCGGUGGCUGA
Molecule: ribosomal RNA, 5973 nt
Filed under: Triticum aestivum (bread wheat)
Lineage: Eukaryota; Viridiplantae; Streptophyta; Magnoliopsida; Poales; Poaceae
Description: partial small subunit ribosomal RNA
Source: RNAcentral